CUGUCAAAAUUUAAGUUAAAAAGAUAGUGUAAUAAUAGGAAUAUGACAGCGCUAAAAAUUUGUUAUGGGAAUUUUCUACGUGCAGGAGGAUUUUAGUCCAAUUUUAGGGAAACCUCUGUCGAAUUUUUUCUAGGAAAUGAACAAGAGUUGGAUAACAAAGGACAGACUUUCAAAAGAGUAUGAAGAGGGAGUCGACAACUUUAUUAAGUUAGCGUUAGAAAAUACAACAGAUCCUUCCACCAAUGAAGGACUUCGUGACAAAUGAGUUUUCAAUGCGAUGGCUAACUAGUAAUUGUGGCGGGAAGAACUAUUACACAAAGGAUGAGAUCAAUGAAGUACGUGAAGAAUGGGCACAAUGCAUCAUGGAUUUGAUGAGUACUACAUAGGUCCACUCACUUUUGUUAACUUAGACUUUUAAUGAGAUAUACUUACAAUGUUAACUUAGACUUUCUUGAAGAUAUACACACUUUUGUUGCCUAACUAUAGUUUACAAUGCUUAUGUGAGUCAUUUUGUAAUUAA
This is a long non-coding RNA of Humulus lupulus (European hop), 520 nucleotides long. RefSeq lists it as uncharacterized. The transcript is spliced from 2 exons. The record is from RefSeq and is a predicted model, not a curated record. NCBI's taxonomy places the organism in Eukaryota, Viridiplantae, Streptophyta, Magnoliopsida, Rosales, Cannabaceae.